This 578-nucleotide ribosomal RNA is filed under the name uncultured bacterium. RNAcentral describes it as "partial 16S ribosomal RNA". It matches the Rfam family "Bacterial small subunit ribosomal RNA", at positions 355 to 926 of the family's 1533-position model. The record is from RNAcentral.
UGGGGAAUUUUGGACAAUGGGGGAAACCCUGAUCCAGCCAUCCCGCGUGUGCGAUGAAGGCCUUCGGGUUGUAAAGCACUUUUGGCAGGAAAGAAACGUCGCGGGUUAAUACCCCGCGGAACUGACGGUACCUGCAGAAUAAGCACCGGCUAACUACGUGCCAGCAGCCGCGGUAAUACGUAGGGUGCAAGCGUUAAUCGGAAUUACUGGGCGUAAAGCGUGCGCAGGCGGUUCGGAAAGAAAGAUGUGAAAUCCCAGAGCUUAACUUUGGAACUGCAUUUUUAACUACCGGGCUAGAGUGUGUCAGAGGGAGGUGGAAUUCCGCGUGUAGCAGUGAAAUGCGUAGAUAUGCGGAGGAACACCGAUGGCGAAGGCAGCCUCCUGGGAUAACACUGACGCUCAUGCACGAAAGCGUGGGGAGCAAACAGGAUUAGAUACCCUGGUAGUCCACGCCCUAAACGAUGUCAACUAGCUGUUGGGGUCUUCGGACCUCGGUAGCGCAGCUAACGCGUGAAGUUGACCGCCUGGGGAGUACGGUCGCAAGAUUAAAACUCAAAUGAAUUGACGGGGUCAUAGCU